UCAGAUACUCCUACUCCAGCAAAGCUUGAGCCGCAGCCACACUUACGAUCGCAUCGCAUCGAUUUCUCCGGCUGAUUCCAGGAUGGGAACGGUGCGGUCAGAGCUGACGCAAUCGCGUUGACAGCUACGUACUAGUGUUUGGAGGCGUCUGCCAUUCAUAGCCUCACAGGUACGUUUCAGCUUUCCCAGCUAAAUGCCAUUGUUCGUUGGCGUCAUUUCUUACGUGGCGGCCUGCUUAUUAUACUUGUGUCGUGGCAGCUAUGUGUGCAUACAUGUGUGGCAGGCAUCACAGUUCACAGGGGAAGGGAGAAGGUGCUCGGAACAAGGGUAGUAGUAGGAGGAGUACUAUCUUAGUUUCUUCUUCGUCCAAUUUCUUGUUAGAGAAGGAGGAUAUGCCAUCAUUUUAUUGAUUAUUUUUCAAGGACGUUAUAAAGUAGUACAACAAAAUGUCUGAAUCCGUCAUCUUGUCAAUAUCUGUCGUUACAUCUAUCCAUAUGAUGAAUUGAUGCAAGCUAGACUAAAUACUCAGACCUCUCA
This 537-nucleotide long non-coding RNA is filed under the name Hordeum vulgare. RNAcentral's name for it is "long non-coding RNA (HVUL_LNC013626)". The record is from RNAcentral. Lineage: Eukaryota; Viridiplantae; Streptophyta; Magnoliopsida; Poales; Poaceae.